This 75-nucleotide transfer RNA is filed under the name Microcaldota archaeon. Its description in RNAcentral is "tRNA-Ile". It matches the Rfam family "tRNA". From Rfam's summary of the family: Transfer RNA (tRNA) molecules are approximately 80 nucleotides in length. Lineage: Archaea; Nanobdellati; Microcaldota. RNAcentral also lists the same sequence under 2 other names. The record is from RNAcentral.
GGGCCCAUAGCUCAGGCUGGUUAGAGCGACGGUCUUAUAAGCCGUAGGUCAGGGGUUCAAAUCCCCUUGGGCCCA